Molecule: long non-coding RNA, 836 nt
Filed under: Marmota monax (woodchuck)
Lineage: Eukaryota; Metazoa; Chordata; Mammalia; Rodentia; Sciuridae
Source: RNAcentral
GGGAGCCAAGGCCCUGACAGGGGACACAUGGGCAAGGCAGCGGGUGGCUCUGGGCUAAGCUGACCAGAUUGCCCCUUACUGAGCUCUGUGCCUCCUUCUUGAACACAGGAACAGGAGUGUGACAGGUUCCACAGAGGGUGACUGGAGGCUGGGGGUGAGUGAGCAAUGGUACUGUGACGUAGAGAGGGGCAGCAGCCACUCCCACCACAGGGCACCGAUUCACCUCCCCAGACACAGGGCAGCGUACACCCAGGGAGACAGGUCGUGGGGGACAUGGGGUGGAGGGCAGGGAACUGCUCAGGCUCCAGGGAGGAAAUGCAAGUCAAGCCUGUGGGACCAGUGCAAACCCCAAACCUGAGGGUGAGAGGUACAGGGGGCCCAGCCGGCAGGAAGUCAACCUCACCCCAGGCCAAGGCCCGCAGACUAAGAGGCGACUGGGGCUGACCUUGAGCUCCUGGGUCAUGAGAUUAGAGCCCCCUCAGCAGGAGGCAAGCAAGCAUCUGCAGGGCAUGACCUCCAGGGAAUCUCUAGCUUCAUCCAGAAAAUUCCCCCUGCUGCCUUGGUGGCUGGUGCUGAAGUGCCCCCAGUGCCUCCUGCCUUGGAGACAGUUCCUUCUUAGGGUGCUCUGGUGGGUGCUCUGGUAGGGGACAGGGGCACUGGCUGCCAAACCCAGGCCCAAAAACCCAAGUUGCCACUCAUGGCUGAGGGACCUGGGGGAGGCCUCUUAGCCUUCCUGAGUCCCAGGGUCUCCUGCCGUGCGAUGAGGACCCUGCCUGGGUUUGAGGUGGAGUCAGGUGCUACAUGUCCCCACACACCUGGAGCAGGCAGGACAGCCC